This 1270-nucleotide ribosomal RNA is filed under the name Escherichia coli. Its description in RNAcentral is "partial 23S ribosomal RNA". It matches the Rfam family "Bacterial large subunit ribosomal RNA", at positions 614 to 1869 of the family's 2925-position model. The record is from RNAcentral. Lineage: Bacteria; Pseudomonadati; Pseudomonadota; Gammaproteobacteria; Enterobacterales; Enterobacteriaceae.
AAUGGGUCAGCGACUUAUAUUCUGUAGCAAGGUUAACCGAAUAGGGGAGCCGAAGGGAAACCGAGUCUUAACUGGGCGUUAAGUUGCAGGGUAUAGACCCGAAACCCGGUGAUCUAGCCAUGGGCAGGUUGAAGGUUGGGUAACACUAACUGGAGGACCGAACCGACUAAUGUUGAAAAAUUAGCGGAUGACUUGUGGCUGGGGGUGAAAGGCCAAUCAAACCGGGAGAUAGCUGGUUCUCCCCGAAAGCUAUUUAGGUAGCGCCUCGUGAAUUCAUCUCCGGGGGUAGAGCACUGUUUCGGCAAGGGGGUCAUCCCGACUUACCAACCCGAUGCAAACUGCGAAUACCGGAGAAUGUUAUCACGGGAGACACACGGCGGGUGCUAACGUCCGUCGUGAAGAGGGAAACAACCCAGACCGCCAGCUAAGGUCCCAAAGUCAUGGUUAAGUGGGAAACGAUGUGGGAAGGCCCAGACAGCCAGGAUGUUGGCUUAGAAGCAGCCAUCAUUUAAAGAAAGCGUAAUAGCUCACUGGUCGAGUCGGCCUGCGCGGAAGAUGUAACGGGGCUAAACCAUGCACCGAAGCUGCGGCAGCGACGCUUAUGCGUUGUUGGGUAGGGGAGCGUUCUGUAAGCCUGUGAAGGUGUGCUGUGAGGCAUGCUGGAGGUAUCAGAAGUGCGAAUGCUGACAUAAGUAACGAUAAAGCGGGUGAAAAGCCCGCUCGCCGGAAGACCAAGGGUUCCUGUCCAACGUUAAUCGGGGCAGGGUGAGUCGACCCCUAAGGCGAGGCCGAAAGGCGUAGUCGAUGGGAAACAGGUUAAUAUUCCUGUACUUGGUGUUACUGCGAAGGGGGGACGGAGAAGGCUAUGUUGGCCGGGCGACGGUUGUCCCGGUUUAAGCGUGUAGGCUGGUUUUCCAGGCAAAUCCGGAAAAUCAAGGCUGAGGCGUGAUGACGAGGCACUACGGUGCUGAAGCAACAAAUGCCCUGCUUCCAGGAAAAGCCUCUAAGCAUCAGGUAACAUCAAAUCGUACCCCAAACCGACACAGGUGGUCAGGUAGAGAAUACCAAGGCGCUUGAGAGAACUCGGGUGAAGGAACUAGGCAAAAUGGUGCCGUAACUUCGGGAGAAGGCACGCUGAUAUGUAGGUGAAGUCCCUCGCGGAUGGAGCUGAAAUCAGUCGAAGAUACCAGCUGGCUGCAACUGUUUAUUAAAAACACAGCACUGUGCAAACACGAAAGUGGACGUAUACGGUGUGACGCCUGCCCGGUGC